UUAAGUGACUAAGCGUACAAGGUGGAUGCCUUGGCAAUCAGAGGCGACGAAGGACGUGCUAAUCUGCGAAAAGCUUGGAUGAGUCGAUAAGAGGCGUUUAAUCCAAGAUGUCCGAAUGGGGAAACCCAGUAGAUGAAGAAUCUACUAUCACUUACUGAAUCCAUAGGUAAGUGAGGCAAACCGGGAGAACUGAAACAUCUAAGUACCCCGAGGAAAAGAAAUCAACCGAGAUUUCGUUAGUAGCGGCGAGCGAACGCGAAGGAGCCUGUUAGUGAUAAUGACAGAGACAGAGGAACAAGCUGGGAAGCUUGGCGAUACAGGGUGAUAGCCCCGUACUCGAAGUCCAGGUCAUGGUACUAAGCUAACGACAAGUAGGGCGGGACACGUGAUAUCCUGUUUGAAGAUGGGGGGACCAUCCUCCAAGGCUAAAUACUCCUGAUUGACCGAUAGUGAACCAGUACUGUGAAGGAAAGGCGAAAAGAACCCCGGUGAGGGGAGUGAAAUAGAACCUGAAACCUUGUACGUACAAGCAGUGGGAGCCCUUUAAGGGUGACUGCGUACCUUUUGUAUAAUGGGUCAGCGACUUAUAUUUUGUAGCGAGGUUAACCGAAUAGGGGAGCCGAAGGGAAACCGAGUCUUAACUGGGCGUCUAGUUGCAAGGUAUAGACCCGAAACCCGGUGAUCUAGCCAUGGGCAGGUUGAAGGUUGGGUAACACUAACUGGAGGACCGAACCGACUAAUGUUGAAAAAUUAGCGGAUGACUUGUGGCUGGGGGUGAAAGGCCAAUCAAACCGGGAGAUAGCUGGUUCUCCCCGAAAUCUAUUUAGGUAGAGCCUUGAGCGGACACCUUCGGGGGUAGAGCACUGUUUCGGCUAGGGGUCCAUCCCGGAUUACCAACCCGAUGCAAACUACGAAUACCGAAGAGUGAUACUCAGGAGACACACGGCGGGUGCUAACGUCCGUCGUGGAGAGGGAAACAACCCAGACCGCCAGCUAAGGUCCCAAAGUCUAUAUUAAGUGGGAAACGAAGUGGGAAGGCUUAGACAGCUAGGAUGUUGGCUUAGAAGCAGCCAUCAUUUAAAGAAAGCGUAAUAGCUCACUAGUCGAGUCGGCCUGCGCGGAAGAUGUAACGGGGCUCAAAUAUAGCACCGAAGCUGCGGCAUCAGUAGCAAUACUGUUGGGUAGGGGAGCGUUCUGUAAGCGGAUGAAGAUGGCUCGAGAGGGCUGUUGGACGUAUCAGAAGUGCGAAUGCUGACAUAAGUAACGAUAAAACGGGUGAAAAACCCGUUCGCCGGAAGACCAAGGGUUCCUGUCCAACGUUAAUCGGGGCAGGGUGAGUCGGCCCCUAAGGCGAGGCUGAAAAGCGUAGUCGAUGGGAAACGGGUUAAUAUUCCCGUACUUGGAUAAACUGCGAUGUGGGGACGGAGCAGGUUAGGUUAUCGCACUGUUGGAUAUGUGCGUUUAAGUUGGUAGGUGUGAAGUUUAGGCAAAUCCGGACUUCUUUAACACCGAGAGAUGAUGACGAGGCUCUACGGAGCUGAAGUAACCGAUACCACACUUCCAGGAAAAGCCACUAAGCUUCAGGUUUAUCUAAACCGUACUGAAAACCGACACAGGUGGUCAGGUAGAGAAUACUCAGGCGCUUGAGAGAACUCGGGUGAAGGAACUAGGCAAAAUAGCACCGUAACUUCGGGAGAAGGUGCGCCGGCGUAGAUUGUAGUCCCUUGCGGAUGAAGGUUGAACCGGUCGAAGAUACCAGCUGGCUGCAACUGUUUAUUAAAAACACAGCACUCUGCAAACACGAAAGUGGACGUAUAGGGUGUGAUGCCUGCCCGGUGCUGGAAGGUUAAUUGAUGGUGUAAUCGAAAGAGAAGCUCCUGAUCGAAGCCCCAGUAAACGGCGGCCGUAACUAUAACGGUCCUAAGGUAGCGAAAUUCCUUGUCGGGUAAGUUCCGACCUG
Molecule: ribosomal RNA, 1960 nt
Filed under: human gut metagenome
Description: bacterial LSU rRNA
Rfam family: Bacterial large subunit ribosomal RNA
Source: RNAcentral